RNAcentral lists this signal recognition particle RNA (295 nucleotides) under Saimiri boliviensis boliviensis (Bolivian squirrel monkey). RNAcentral describes it as "Metazoan signal recognition particle RNA (ENSSBOG00000008976.1)". It matches the Rfam family "Metazoan signal recognition particle RNA". From Rfam's summary of the family: The signal recognition particle (SRP) is a universally conserved ribonucleoprotein. It is involved in the co-translational targeting of proteins to membranes. The eukaryotic SRP consists of a 300-nucleotide 7S RNA and six proteins: SRPs 72, 68, 54, 19, 14, and 9. Lineage: Eukaryota; Metazoa; Chordata; Mammalia; Primates; Cebidae. The record is from RNAcentral.
GCACAAGAGGUGAAAUGGCAUGUACACCUGCAGUCCCAGCUACUCAGGGGGCUGAGGCAGGAGAAUGGCUCGAGCCCAGGGGUUCUGGGCUGUAAUGCACUAUGCUGGUCCACACUAAGUUUAGCAUUAAUAAUGUGAUCUUCUGAGAACAGGGACUACCAGAUUGCCUAAGGCAGGGUAAACUGGCUCAGGUAGGAAACAAGCAGGUCAGGACUCCUGUACUGCUCAGUAGUGGGACGGUGCUGUGAAUAGCUACUGCUCUCCAGCCUGUGCAGCAUAGCCAGAUUUUUUUUUU